GUAGGUGGCAAGCGUUGUCCGGAAUUAUUGGGCGUAAAGCGCGCGCAGGUGGUUCUUUAAGUCUGAUGUGAAAGCCCCCCGGCUCAACCGGGGAGGGUCAUUGGAAACUGGGGAACUUGAGUGCAGGAGAGGAAAGUGGAAUUCCACGUGUAGCGGUGAAAUGCGUAGAUAUGUGGAGGAACACCAGUGGCGAAGGCGACUUUCUGGCCUGUAACUGACACUGAGGCGCGAAAGCGUGGGGUAGCAAACCAGGAUUAGAUACCCUGGUAGUCCACGCCGUAAACCGAUGAGUGCUAAGUGUUGGGGGGGUUUUACCCGCCCCCCCUCAGUGCUGCAGCUAACCGCAUUAAGCACUCCGCCUGGGGUAGUACGGCCCGCAAGACUG
RNAcentral lists this ribosomal RNA (385 nucleotides) under uncultured organism. Its description in RNAcentral is "partial 16S ribosomal RNA". It matches the Rfam family "Bacterial small subunit ribosomal RNA", at positions 527 to 896 of the family's 1533-position model. The record is from RNAcentral.